RNAcentral lists this ribosomal RNA (484 nucleotides) under uncultured bacterium. RNAcentral's name for it is "partial 16S ribosomal RNA". It matches the Rfam family "Bacterial small subunit ribosomal RNA", at positions 28 to 523 of the family's 1533-position model. The record is from RNAcentral.
GACGAACGCUGGCGGCGUGCUUAACACAUGCAAGUCGAACGAUGAAGCUGGAGCUUGCUCCGGUGGAUUAGUGGCGAACGGGUGAGUAACACGUGAGCAAUCUGCCCUUGACUCUGGGAUAACUGCGGGAAACUGUAGCUAAUACCGGAUACUUUCACUGGAAGGCAUCUUCUGGUGAAGAAAGAAUUUCGGUCAAGGAUGAGCUCGCGGCCUAUCAGCUUGUUGGUGAGGUAACGGCUCACCAAGGCGACGACGGGUAGCCGGCCUGAGAGGGUGACCGGCCACACUGGGACUGAGACACGGCCCAGACUCCUACGGGAGGCAGCAGUGGGGAAUAUUGCACAAUGGGCGCAAGCCUGAUACAGCAACGCCGCGUGAGGGAUGAAGGCCUUCGGGUUGUAAACCUCUUUUAGCAGGGAAGAAGCGAAAGUGACGGUACCUGCAGAAAAAGCACCGGCUAACUACGUGCCAGCAGCAGCCGCCG